Molecule: transfer RNA, 105 nt
Filed under: Annulohypoxylon truncatum
Lineage: Eukaryota; Fungi; Ascomycota; Sordariomycetes; Xylariales; Hypoxylaceae
Description: tRNA-Ile
Rfam family: tRNA
About the family: Transfer RNA (tRNA) molecules are approximately 80 nucleotides in length. Their secondary structure includes four short double-helical elements and three loops (D, anti-codon, and T loops).
Source: RNAcentral
GGUCCCAUAGCUCAGUUGGUCAGAGCGUCGUACUAAUAUUAUCCUAUCUCACAUAGGAAAUGUUAAGUAAUGCGAAGGCCGAGAGUUCAAGCCUCUCUGGGACCA